ACUUGGCACUCUCUUUGUAAGUGCAAACCCUAGUCACAAACAGCGCAAGCCAGCUCUGAUCCAAUGGGUACACUCUCUCUAAACUGGUUUUUCUCUCAUCUCACAAUGCUUCAAUUUUGAUGGCUGUGUGUUUCUUACAGAUUUCAAAGCUAGUCGUAGUUUGGUGUUAAAUCUGUUACUUUCCUAGUUUUUUUUGGAGUCUUUCUGAUCUUGGGUUCAUCAAAAGGGCACUUGAACUUACCAUUUCGUUUGAUCUAUUUGUUUUCAUACUGCUGUUCAUUAAGCAUUUCGUUGCGCUAAUUUGUGAUCCACUGUAUUAUUCUUAUGGUUGCCACUGUCAAAUAUAAGUUUUGCAGUUUUGAUGUUCUUCGAUUUUCAAAAGAGCAAAUGCUUGCGUUGUUUAGCUUUGCAUUUGGUUGCUGACAUAAAAAUAAGGGUUCUGAGUUGCAUGCCGAUUUAAUUGUGAGUUAUUAUUAUUUCCGAAUAAGGAUGGGCUGUAAAGCUUUUUGUUAUUUUUUGUGCCAUUGAAUUUAAUCAAAUGCAUGAAGCCUUGUGCUCUAUAGUUAUAUUUUUGUUGAACACAAGCAUACUUUUCUGUUCUGAAGGGUACAUUUGCUAUGAAUGUGUUUUGAGACUUAACCCCCUGUGAUGUAAAAAGUUCAAUGUGCAGUGUAAAUGUUUUAACGUUAUGCAUUUGAUGAAAAUAGGGGCUUACAAGUAUGUCUCUGAGCUAUGGAGGAAGAAGCAAUCAGAUGUGAUGAGGUUUUUGCAGAGGGUGAGGUGCUGGGAGU
RNAcentral lists this unclassified non-coding RNA (791 nucleotides) under Hevea brasiliensis (rubber tree). Lineage: Eukaryota; Viridiplantae; Streptophyta; Magnoliopsida; Malpighiales; Euphorbiaceae. The record is from RNAcentral.